Molecule: unclassified non-coding RNA, 332 nt
Filed under: soil metagenome
Description: partial contains 5.8S ribosomal RNA, internal transcribed spacer 2, and large subunit ribosomal RNA
Rfam family: 5.8S ribosomal RNA (bases 1-120)
Source: RNAcentral
GAUGAAGAACGUAGCGAAAUGCGAUAAGUAAUGUGAAUCGCAGAAUUCAGUGAAUCAUCGAAUCUUUGAACGCACAUUGCGCCCGCCAGUAUUCUGGCGGGCAUGCCUGUCCGAGCGUCAUUUCAACCAUCAAGCCCCGGGCUUGUGUUGGGGACCUGCGUCCGACGCAGGCCCUGAAAACCAGUGGCGGGCUCGCUGUCCACACCGAGCGUAGUAACUAACCUCGCUAUGGAGUGGCGCGGGCGCCUGCCGUAAAACCCCCAAUUUCACAAGGUUGACCUCGGAUCAGGUAGGAAUACCCGCUGAACUUAAGCAUAUCAAUAAGCGGAGGA